RNAcentral lists this ribosomal RNA (397 nucleotides) under uncultured bacterium. RNAcentral describes it as "partial 16S ribosomal RNA". It matches the Rfam family "Bacterial small subunit ribosomal RNA", at positions 523 to 918 of the family's 1533-position model. The record is from RNAcentral.
AUACGUAGGGGGCGAGCGUUGUCCGGAAUUAUUGGGCGUAAAGCGCGCGCAGGUGGUUCCUUAAGUCUGAUGUGAAAGCCCCCGGCUCAACCGGGGAGGGUCAUUGGAAACUGGGGAACUUGAGUGCAGAAGAGGAUAGUGGAAUUCCAAGUGUAGCGGUGAAAUGCGUAGAGAUUUGGAGGAACACCAGUGGCGAAGGCGACUGUCUGGUCUGUAACGGACACUGAGGCGCGAAAGCGUGGGGAGCAAACAGGAUUAGAUACCCUGGUAGUCCACGCCGUAAACGAUGAGUGCUAAGUGUUGGGGGGUUUCCGCCCCUCAGUGCUGCAGCUAACGCAUUAAGCACUCCGCCUGGGGAGUACGGUCGCAAGACUGAAACUCAAAGGAAUUGACGGGG